CCCAACACCCAGAAUCUGAGGGAAAAAAUAAGUUUAUAUGUAAAAAGACCAGAUGAAGAAAACAAAUUCAUACUGAGGGGAAAGCUUCAUCCAUCAAUGUGAACAAGGAGUUUAAAUCACUCGCAUUCCACUGGUUUUCUUGGGGAAAGAAGGCUCUGCAGAAGAGCCCACAAUCCACAUCCCACUUGGAGCAAAAGCCCUUCUCACCCCAAGAGCCCUAGUGAAUCAUGCCAUUGCCAUCUGUCCCACAAGACACCCCCUCAAAACUCACUUCUGGCUAGCAAAACAAGGUAGCACUUCUUUUGAGAUAUUUUGAGUAUGAAAUAUUUCUUUGGUACAGCUGUGAAAAAUAUGCAUUCAUUCCACAACCACACAACAAUAAAAUGAGGACCUGACCUUCUGGAGAUGAAGAUACCAUGGCACAACCAUCAACAUUGCCACCAAUUCUCAUCUGUUAAUAUGUAAAAUCUCUUUCUCCAGCUGACAAGUGAUAAUCUACCACAAACCCCAUUAUUGUGAACCACAAUAAUAUAAAAUAAAAUUAGAAAAAAGAAAAGAUGACCAGGACUUUUCUGGUCUUUCCUAUACACACCCCUUCCCCACUACCACUAUCUUCCGCCCUUGACUCUUCAACCAAUGAAGGAGAGAAAAGAAAGAACAGAAUGAAAGGUGCAAUGCGGACUACAGCAUUACAGACAGCAACCUUGGUUAAAACAUCUUGUUAGGGUUUUUAAAAAUCAGAAAGAGAACAAAUGAAUGAGUAUCCAGAACCACCACUAAGUUUCUUAUUACUUAUGGCUAAAUAUGUUUUACACAAAAAGAAAUGCUAUAAGAACUUAGUACCAGGUAAAGAAUAUAUAAAUUGAUAGAGAGAAAAGUUCUUUUUUUUAAACAAAAUAAGAGAUUCUACUUUUUAGGGUUGUAAUUGUAAAAGUUCAAUGCUUCUAGCAUGUCUUUCUGGAAGAAACACUAGAGCAAUCACAAGUAAAAAAUAAAAUUGAUAAAUGGAGGUGGUAAUACAGUAGAUUCUGUGGACAGUGUCCUUUUUCCUGCACUAAAGUGCAGUGCUGCAGAAUACCAUGCCCCUCUUGAAAUCCUGACUCUUUGGGAAUAGAAAUGGGGGUAUUACUCAUGCACGACCUUUGCCAAAAAGUGGCUGGCAGAUGGGUUUACAUAGCAAAGUGGAGAUGUGAUGAGAUUAUUCUGAGUCCCCACGAAACUAGCCCAGUUGAGCCUGGACAAGAGUUUCACUGGAUAAGAGGCUCUUUACUUUCACAGAACACUGACAAAUGUGCCAUGUCACAAUGACUUCCACUCAUGCCCUGGUUUGUCAUCAUUCCUCCCUCCACUCCUUAACAGAAACCAAAAAAAAGGCAAUUAUCUUUCUUCCAGCUAUAGAUGUUAAUCCUCAACUAAGUUUUAAUAAGAUCCCAUACUGACAAUGCCUGCAAUGUAGUAGAAAAGCUUUGAAGCCUGCAAAUCAUUUAGGACCAAAAGGAGGAAAUUCAAGUCCAAUUAUGGGAAAAUGAAAAAAAGAAAAAGAGCAGAAAAGCCCUUCAAAUCAGACCACAUAGAAGGCCAAAACCAUAGAUGAAAGGAAUUAAGAAGCUACAGGCUUUUUUGCUGCCUUUUAAACAUAGACCCAUAGGCAAAGUCAGCACUUGUUUAACAUAUCCACAGGUAUUAAAGUCUAUAACAUAUAAGGUGGUAGAAAAAUAAUUUCAGUGACUGUUACUUAUGGGUCUGGAUAAUUCUCAAUAUUGACAAACAUUGGUCCUCAUGUAAAAGACAAAAGUAGAAAAUAUCACUAAACUUGGAGGUAGAAACCAGAUUUCGAUUCUGUCUCUAUGUAUAGCCUUUGGAAAAUUACUUUUUGUUUCAAAGCCCAAGUUUCUUUGUCUAUAAAAAUAUGGAUAAAAGUAUCUUCAUUCAAAGAGUUGUACUGUAACUGUUCAAUGAAAUUCAUUUAUAUGUCUGAAAACAGUAUCUAAUAAAUGUAAACUGUGUAUGAUUCUGAUCUUUAAUAAUUGAUUAUGAUUCCCAAGUAAAAA
This is a long non-coding RNA of Cebus imitator (Panamanian white-faced capuchin), 2051 nucleotides long. RefSeq lists it as uncharacterized. Lineage: Eukaryota; Metazoa; Chordata; Mammalia; Primates; Cebidae. The record is from RefSeq and is a predicted model, not a curated record. The transcript is spliced from 3 exons.